CCUAAUAACGGGCGAGUGAAGCGGGAAGAGCACAAAUUUUAAAUCUACCUGGGUUUCCAGGUCGAGUUGUAAUUUGAAGAAGUGUUUUUUACUUUCCGGGUGUGGGUUAAAUCCUUGUGGAUAAGGUAUCAUGGAGGGUGAGAAUCCCGUGUAUACCAACCGCAGGAUNGUNUAAUAUACACUUUCUAAGAGUCGAGUUGUUUGGGAAUGCAGCUCUAAAUGGGUGGUAAAUUUCACCUAAUGCUAAAUAUAAGCGAGAGACCGAUAGCGAACAAGUACCGUGAGGGAAAGAUGAAAAGAACUUUGAAAAGAGAGUUAAAUAGUACGUGAAAUUGUUGAAAGGGAAACGGUUGAAGUCAGUCAUGCCGGCGGGAAUCAACUUAGGGGAAACUCUGAGUGCACUUCUUCGCCUGGCAGGUUAGCGUCGAUUUUGGAUGUCAUAAAAUGACUGGGGGAAGGUAGCUCUUUCGGGAGUGUUAAGCCCUUAGUAGAUGUGAUGUCCGGGAUCGAGGAUUGCAACGGAUACCYUUUGGGCUARCCGCCUAGUCUCUAAUACGAAGUUGGGUUAUGGACAGCACGCUGACUGUGAUCUGAUUUUCGGUUAAAAGAUUAGAGGCGAGCNUAAAUUCGUAAGGACG
This 638-nucleotide ribosomal RNA is filed under the name Glomeromycotina sp. RNAcentral describes it as "eukaryotic LSU rRNA". It matches the Rfam family "Eukaryotic large subunit ribosomal RNA", at positions 79 to 625 of the family's 3401-position model. Lineage: Eukaryota; Fungi; Glomeromycota. The record is from RNAcentral.